GUGGGGAAUAUUGCACAAUGGGCGAAAGCCUGAUGCAGCGACGCCGCGUGCGGGAUGAAGGCCUUCGGGUUGUAAACCGCUUUUGAUUGGGAGCAAGCGAGAGUGAGUGUACCUUUCGAAUAAGCACCGGCUAACUACGUGCCAGCAGCCGCGGUAAUACGUAGGGUGCAAGCGUUAUCCGGAAUUAUUGGGCGUAAAGAGCUCGUAGGCGGUUUGUCGCGUCUGGUGUGAAAGUCCAUCGCUUAACGGUGGAUCUGCGCCGGGUACGGGCAGGCUAGAGUGCGACAGGGGAGACUGGAAUUCCCGGUGUAACGGUGGAAUGUGUAGAUAUCGGGAAGAACACCAAUGGCGAAGGCAGGUCUCUGGGUCGUCACUGACGCUGAGGAGCGAAAGCGUGGGGAGCGAACAGGAUUAGAUACCCUGGUAGUCCACGCCGUAAACGGUGGAUGCUGGAUGUGGGGCCCAUUCCACGGGUUCCGUG
Molecule: ribosomal RNA, 481 nt
Filed under: uncultured bacterium
Lineage: Bacteria
Description: partial 16S ribosomal RNA
Rfam family: Bacterial small subunit ribosomal RNA
Source: RNAcentral